AGAGUUUGAUCCUGGCUCAGAAUGAACGCUGGCGGCGUGCCUAACACAUGCAAGUCGGAUGUGCCGCAAGGUGCAUGGCAGACGGGUGAGUAACGCGUAGGGAAUCUACCUUUUUGUGGGGAAUAACGCUCCGAAAGGAGUGGUAAUACCGCAUGAGACCGUGGCCUGGGAUGGUUACGGUGAAACCUGGGGACCGCAAGGCCUGGGGCAAAGAGAGGAUCCUGCGUCUGAUUAGCUAGUUGGCGGGGUAAUGGCCCACCAAGGCGACGAUCAGUAGCCGGCCUGAGAGGGUGAUCGGCCACACUGGAACUGAGACACGGUCCAGACUCCUACGGGAGGCAGCAGUGGGGAAUUUUGCGCAAUGGACGAAAGUCUGACGCAGCAACGCCGCGUGGGUGAUGAAGGUCUUCGGACUGUAAAACCCUGUCGUCAGGGACGAAGGUUGAGGGGUUAAUAACCCUUCAGCUUGACGGUACCUGGAGAGGAAGCCCCGGCUAACUCUGUGCCAGCAGCCGCGGUAAUACAGAGGGGGCAAGCGUUAUUCGGAAUUAUUGGGCGUAAAGCGCGUGUAGGCGGUCUGAUUAGUCUGAUGUGAAAGCCCCGGGCUCAACCUGGGAACUGCGUUUGAAACUACAAGGCUAGAGUGUAGCAGAGGGGGGUAGAAUUCCACGUGUAGCAGUGAAAUGCGUAGAGAUGUGGAGGAAUACCGAUGGCGAAGGCAGCCCCCUGGGUUAACACUGACGCUCAUGUACGAAAGCGUGGGGAGCAAACAGGAUUAGAUACCCUGGUAGUCC
This 794-nucleotide ribosomal RNA is filed under the name uncultured bacterium. Its description in RNAcentral is "bacterial SSU rRNA". It matches the Rfam family "Bacterial small subunit ribosomal RNA", at positions 8 to 796 of the family's 1533-position model. The record is from RNAcentral.